RNAcentral lists this ribosomal RNA (1450 nucleotides) under Griseargiolestes albescens (coastal flatwing damselfly). Its description in RNAcentral is "eukaryotic LSU rRNA". It matches the Rfam family "Eukaryotic large subunit ribosomal RNA", at positions 1 to 1722 of the family's 3401-position model. The record is from RNAcentral. Lineage: Eukaryota; Metazoa; Arthropoda; Insecta; Odonata; Argiolestidae.
AGGAAGCGAGAAGUCGACGCGCCGACCCCCGCAAGGGGGGCGAGGCGUCCGGCCCUCCGCGAGCAUCCGCGUGGGUGUGGGUUACGGACCCCGUCCGAUCCCGUUCCCACCGCGGGGCUGUCCGCGAUCAUGGAGGUGUCCUCGGACGGCGUCGAAUCACUCAAAGUUCUCCAGUCCGCGACGCUACGGCUUGGAUGGUCCACCCGACCCGUCUUGAAACACGGACCAAGGAGUCUAACAUGCGCGCAAGUCGUUGGGUCGGACACGCUCCGCUAAACCCAUAGGCGCAAUGAAAGUGAAGGCCGCCGUUCGGGCGGCCGAGGGAGGACGGGGCCGGCCGGGCGCUCCGGUGCUCGGCGGUCCCCGCACCCCCGGGGCGUCUGAUCCCUCAUCGCGAGGGGAGGCGCACCCAGAGCGCACACGUUGGGACCCGAAAGAUGGUGAACUAUGCCUGGCCAGGACGAAGUCAGGGGAAACCCUGAUGGAGGUCCGUAGCGAUUCUGACGUGCAAAUCGAUCGUCGGAGCUGGGUAUAGGGGCGAAAGACUAAUCGAACCAUCUAGUAGCUGGUUCCCUCCGAAGUUUCCCUCAGGAUAGCUUGCGCUCGGAGGAGAGUCUCAUCCGGUAAAGCGAAUGAUUAGAGGCCUUGGGGCCGAAACGGCUUCAACCUAUUCUCAAACUUUAAAUGGGUGAGAACUCCGGCUUGCUCGACCGAUCGAAGCCGGAGACGGGGCCGUCCCUCGGGGCGGACCCCCGGGAUCGGAGUGCAUAGUGGGCCACUUUUGGUAAGCAGAACUGGCGCUGUGGGAUGAACCAAACGACGGGUUAAGGCGCCCGAAUCGACGCUCAUGGGAAACCAUGAAAGGUGUUGGUUGCUUAAGACAGCAGGACGGUGGCCAUGGAAGUCGGAAUCCGCUAAGGAGUGUGUAAUAACUCACCUGCCGAAGCAACUAGCCCUGAAAAUGGAUGGCGCUGAAGCGUCGUGCCUAUACCCGGCCGUCGCGGCAGGGCGGACCCGGCCUCGCGUCGGGUGCCGCUUGAUGCGGCGACGAGUAGGAGGGUCGCGGCGGCGCGCGCAGAAGGGUCUGGGCUCGAGCCUGCCUGGAGCCGCCGCCGGUGCAGAUCUUGGUGGUAGUAGCAAAUACUCCAGCGAGGCCCUGGAGGACUGAUGUGGAGAAGGGUUUCGUGUGAACAGCCGUUGCACACGAGUCAGUCGAUCCUAAGCCCUAGGAGAAAUCCGACGCCAACGGCGACGGGAGAAAUUUUGAAAGAGAAAGAAACCCGUUGAUCGGGCGAAAGGGAAUCCGGUUCCUAUUCCGGAACCCGGCAGCGGAACCGCUGUUUGUCGGGCCCUCACAAGGGGUUCGUCAGGGUAACCUAAAAGGGCCCGGAGACGCCGUCGGGAGCCCCGGAAAGAGUUUUCUUUUCUGCAUGAGCGUUCGAGUUCCCUG